RNAcentral lists this long non-coding RNA (584 nucleotides) under Olea europaea (common olive). RNAcentral's name for it is "long non-coding RNA (OEUR_LNC010064)". The record is from RNAcentral. Lineage: Eukaryota; Viridiplantae; Streptophyta; Magnoliopsida; Lamiales; Oleaceae.
GUAAGACUUGUGAAGGCAGUGAACGAGGCAACUGCGAACAUUCCUGGAUGGGACACAGAAUAACUAUCAGCCGAGAUUGGAGUAAAAUCUUCAAACUUCGACNUGAACGAGGCAACUGCGAACAUUCCUGGAUGGGACACAGAAUAACUAUCAGCCGAGAUUGGAGUAAAAUCUUCAAACUUCGACAUCUGAUGAAGAUUAAUGACACUUUAUGGAUCGACUUGUUUAUGUGGCCGUCACAAGUGACUAUACAUACAGCUACAUACUAGAUGGAGAACAAUGCCAGACAGAAGAAAUGUUUAUUGUCAGACAGACACCUCUUAAUAGCAGAACGAUGAAUUUUGAAAUUCUUUUGUAUACAGAAGUUACCUUUGUAAUUUGUUUUUUUUUUAUAUUUUGCCUUUUCUUGAAGCUUUCAAUAUUCAGUCUCCUCUUUUUUAUUAGUCAGGAUUUUUUGAAAUACUCAUAAUGUCGUGUACUGAUUAUAUGUAAGUUGUAGGGAAGGUUUUGGUAAUCCUUAAGGUCUCAGAACCUAUUUAAAUAAUUUAGUAAAACGUGAUUUCCUUUUGAGCCUAUAUGGAUAA